CUCAGUGAAGCACAUCACCUGAAGAAAUCUAAAUUUCACAUGCAAAUACUUCUUGAAGGUCUAGCUGCAUCUGGCUUUCUCAUAGUAUUUGCCUUGUUGAUUUCAAAAGGCUACUUAUAUGAAUAAGGUGAUUCUGCCACCUGCCCAUUGAAUGAAAGUGUUAUUCUAGCAGCAGUAGCCAUUCAGUGGUUGCCCAAGGGCAUGUCAGCCUGGACCUCAUGGCAGCACAGAAAUUGGUGAGAGAAGAAUGAAACAAGCCGUUUGAAGAGUGAGUACUAAUGAGAAUGGAAGAAAAAUCCUGAAUGCAGCAAAAAGAGGUUUGAUUGACCAAGUUACUUCAUUUGGAGCAGAUUCAUGAGGAAGUUUGCAUCCCUUCAAUGAAGUGGCUUGGAGGAUGGUAGGAACAUGUUCAGUAGAUCUGUGUCAGUACAGAGUCCACUUCCUUUGUCUCUCAGAUAUGUUGCCAAGAAAUAUAUUCAGCAUAAGAAACGAA
Molecule: long non-coding RNA, 493 nt
Organism: Corvus hawaiiensis (hawaiian crow)
Lineage: Eukaryota; Metazoa; Chordata; Aves; Passeriformes; Corvidae
Exons: 3
Source: RefSeq, a predicted model, not a curated record